RNAcentral lists this transfer RNA (51 nucleotides) under Pseudoniphargus sp. 1-Basque. Its description in RNAcentral is "tRNA-Val". Lineage: Eukaryota; Metazoa; Arthropoda; Malacostraca; Amphipoda; Allocrangonyctidae. The record is from RNAcentral.
AAGAGUAUAAAUAUUUCAGUUACGUUGAAGAUUUCCUUUACGGUACUCUUU